RNAcentral lists this long non-coding RNA (363 nucleotides) under Mytilus galloprovincialis (Mediterranean mussel). Lineage: Eukaryota; Metazoa; Mollusca; Bivalvia; Mytilida; Mytilidae. The record is from RNAcentral.
UUUCCGAGUUUUGGACAAUAUCCUUAAAGUGCUUAAAGCAGUUUUUAUUAAGAUUUGAUGACUUAUUUUUAUUUAUUAAGAUAACCUCCCUUUAGUUUUUUUUUAUAAAUUUUUGAUGAAACAUUGAGAAGUUAUUGAAUAAAAUUGAGAAAGGAAAUGGGGAAUGUGUCAAACUGACAAAAGAUUUACUAAGUAUUGCCCAACAGCAUACUAAGUAUUGCCCAACAGCAUACUUAGUAUUGCGCAACAGCACAGUGUAUUGCACAACAGCAAGAAAUCUUUAGUUGAAUAUAAAUUGAAUUUAUACAAUGUUCAUUUAAAAUUGUCUAUUUACAUGGUUUACUUUAACAAAAAUAUAAUCUG